CCCAGACUCCUACGGGAGGCAGCAGUGGGGAAUAUUGUACAAUGGGGGGAACCCUGAUGCAGCGACGCCGCGUGGGCGAGGAAGUAUUUCGGUAUGUAAAGCCCUAUCGGCAGGGAAGAAGAAAUGACGGUACCUGAAUAAGAAGCACCGGCUAAAUACGUGCCAGCAGCCGCGGUAAUACGUAUGGUGCAAGCGUUGUCCGGAAUCAUUGGGCGUAAAGCGUUCGUAGGCGGUAUGUCAAGUCUGAUGUUAAAGCCCGGGGCUCAACUCCGGUUCGGCAUUGGAUACUGGCAAACUAGAAUGUGGUAGAGGUAAAGGGAAUUCCUGGUGUAGCGGUGAAAUGCGUAGAUAUCAGGAGGAACAUCGGUGGCGAAAGCGCUUUACUGGACCAUUAUUGACGCUGAGGAACGAAAGCCAGGGGAGCAAAUGGGAUUAGAUACCCGAGUA
This 447-nucleotide ribosomal RNA is filed under the name uncultured bacterium. RNAcentral's name for it is "partial 16S ribosomal RNA". It matches the Rfam family "Bacterial small subunit ribosomal RNA", at positions 330 to 792 of the family's 1533-position model. The record is from RNAcentral.